This 3414-nucleotide long non-coding RNA is filed under the name Triticum aestivum (bread wheat). RNAcentral describes it as "long non-coding RNA (TAES_LNC011324)". The record is from RNAcentral. Lineage: Eukaryota; Viridiplantae; Streptophyta; Magnoliopsida; Poales; Poaceae.
GAGUACGCAGUGUCCCGUUUGCUGUCUCGAGAGAAUCAACCAAUGCUGCUGUUUCGAGUCUCAAGGGCCUUGACGUGAAGCAAAGCUGAAUUGUUUUGUGCUUUUAUUACCGAUCAAGAACUAGUAUUUUGAUCAGCUGGCUACUAGUACUAGUGCUUGUCACAUCAAGCUACAGUUCUUUUGGUUCCACACAGCACGUCAAGUUACAGAAAUCAGGAUUACGUGCACCGCUGCACGCGUCUGGGCGUUCUGUCGGAUCAGAUUGGAAUUUCCGUUUCCGCUGCUGCACCACCUAUGAAGUUGAGUCUGACAGGUGUUUCCGUCUCCAGCAAAGAUCAAGACCUAAGGCUGUGGCUGUCGUUGUCCGAUCUGCCGAGUCCGAUUUACAGAAAAAAGAAGGGAUGCACCGUGAGUCGCCGAGACCGACAAGUCUUUUACUUAAGCGCCGAUUCAACGUAUAAAUAGCAAUGGAGAUCGAUUCUUGUACAGGCAGUCUGCCGAGGUGGACACAAAGUUGCCGCUGCGCCCUGCUGUCAAAACACAAGUCAUCUCUGACCAGAGCAACAGCCCAUGACCCGGAAAGCCGAUACAACUAUGACCCGGUCUGGUUGCGCUCCUUUCCUUUGCCGGCAUACCUGCAAGUCGCCGCCUUAGACCGGCCUGGAAACACCCUCCAAGCCGCCUUAGUCACUGGAUGUAGCCGCGCUACCAUAGUUUAUACUUCAAUCCGCCACCGGGUGUUGACCCAGACUGCUGCCCUUAAUCCGCCACUACGGACUAAACCGCCGCCGCACCUGUGAGCCGCACCGGACAUCACCUCAAACCGCCGUCAACGCCGCGGCUCUCCAGCUCCGCCCAAUCGCCGCCGGGUCACCGCGGAGUGGCCUCGCCGAAUCGCCGCCGGAUCACCGCGGAGCGGCCUCGCCGAAUCGCCACCGGGUCACCACGGAGCAGCCUUGACGAAUUGCCGCCGGGUUACCGCGGAGCGGCCUCGCCGAAUCGCCACGGGGUCACCGCUGAGCGCCUCGCCAAAUCGCCACUGGGUUAACACAGAACGGCCCCGCCAAUUCGCCGCCGAGUCACCACCGAGCGCCUCGCCGAAUCGCCGCCAAGUCGCGCCGCGUGGUCUCAACCAUCGCCAGGGUCUCCCCUCACCUCGAGCUGCCAUUGAACCGGCCUGGCCCUGAGCCGCCCUGGCCCCACUCUACUUCACCUCUCCGCUCCGCCGCAACAUCCCAUCUCCACGUUGCCGCGUCGCCCACUGCGUCAGCCGCAGCUCCCCGCCGUCUGUGCCAUGCCCCAUGCCGGAUCAAAACUAUUAGUACUGCUAUGAGUAUCAAGUACAAGGCAAUUACAUGCGGGAAGGUAAUAACCUUCGAAGCUGCCACUGCGAACCUGUUUCCACCAAGUCAACAGCUCCCCUCCGGUUUUGCCGGCCUGCAUCAAUCACCGUGAGUGACCCGCCGCAACUGUGGUUCGCUGCUGUCACGCCCAAGAUGCGACCCUAUCCUAAAGGAACUCAAAGGUCCCACCAAGGAUAGAAGCGCAUCUUGAAGACGCUUUUGCAAGGUGGAUAUCAUUACAUCAACAUUACAUAAUAAAUAGGGAUACAUACAUAAGGAAUACAAUGCCACACGAAUACACCAACAUCAUACACAAUAGCAUCAUCCGACUACGGAUGAAACAUAAACAGAAACUCAAACGACAUCCAUCCUGCUAGCCUAGGCUGCCGACCUGGAACCUAUCCCCUAAUCGAAGAAGAAGCAGAAGAAGAACUCCAAAACAAGUAACAUCACUCUCGCGUCAAGAUCAUCGCAUAACCUGUACCUGCAACUGUUGUUGUAGUAAUCUGUGAGCCACGAGGACUCAGCAAUCCCAUUACCAUGGUUAUCAAGACUAGCAAAGCUUAAUGGGUAAGGAAGGGGUAAAGUGGUGAGGUUGCAGCAGAGACUAAGCAUAUAUGGUGGCUAACAUACGCAAAUAAGAGCGAGAAGAGAGCAAACGAAACGGUCGUGAAGCUAGCAAUGAUCAAGAGGCGAUCCUGAACUCCUACUUACGUCAAGCAUAACCCAAAAUCGUGUUCUCCUCCUGGACUCCGCCGAAAAGAGACCAUCACGGCUACACACGCGGUUGAUGCAUUUUAAUUCGUAUCUGGUGUCAAGUUAUCUACAACCAGACAUUAACAAAUUCCCAUCUGCCACAUAACUGCGGGCACAGCUUUCGAAAGAUAAUACCCUGCAGGAGUGUCCCAACUUAGCCCAUGAUAAGCUCUCGCGAUCAACGAAGGAUAUACCUUCUCCUAGGAAGACCCGAUCAGACUCGGAAUCCCGGUUUAUAAGACAUUUCGACAAUGGUAAAACAAGACCAGCAAGACCGCCCGAUGCGCCGACAAUCCCGAUAGGAGCUGCACAUAUCUCAUUCUCAGGGCAACACCGGAUGAGCAAUCCGUACAACUAAAACCAUACCUCAAGUUUCCCUGAGGGGGCGCUGCAAAGGGCUCUGGUUCGGACCAGUACUUAGAGAAGCACUGGCCCGGGGGGGCUAACUAAAGAUGACCCUCGAGAGAGCGACUCCCAAGGGAAAAGUAGGUGGUGGUGAGGCAAAUGGUAAAACCAAGGUUGGGCCUUGCUGGAGGAGUUUUAUUCAAAGCGAACUGUCAAGGGGGUCCCAUAAAUCACCCAACCGCGUAAGGAACGCAAAAUCCAGGAACAUAACGCCGGUAUGACGGAAACUAGGGUGGCAAGAAUGGAACAAAACACCAGGCAUAAGGCCGAGCCUUCCAUCCUUUACAAAGUAUAUAUAUGCAUUAAUUAAAUAAGAGAUAUUGUAAUAUCCCAACAUAAUCAUGUCCACCAUGGAGCAAUCUUCAACUUCACCUGCAACUAGCAACGCUAUAAGAGGGGCUGAGCAAAGCGGUAACAUAGCCAAGCAACGGUUUGCUAGAAAGGGUGAAAAGGUUAGAGGCUGACAUGGCAGUUUGGGAGGCUUGAUCAACAAGAGAUAGGUAGCGCGACAAAGCAAUAGAACGAAGCAACUAGCAUAGAAUGAUAGUAAUGAGAUCCAAGGCGACGGUCAUCUUGCCUGAAAUCCCGCAAGGAAGAAGAACGAGUCCAUGAAGAAGACGAAUGGGAGUAGUCGAAUGAAUCCUCACAAUCGCAACAUUAUCGGAACUAAGAAGCAAUACCGGAAAGAAACAAACAACAUGGUAAAUGCACAAGCAUAAACAUGGCAUGAUGCACAAACAAGCAUGAUGCAUGUCCGGUUUAAUAAGGCAUGGCAUGGCAAAGUGCAACAAACAAUACUACAAGUUAAAUGGAGCUCAAUAUGCAACGAGUUGCAUAUUAACGAAACACCACAUUCAACUAUUUAGUUAGCUCUCGUUUAGGUACACAACAAUAUUAAAUGUUGCUAAUC